Molecule: ribosomal RNA, 596 nt
Filed under: uncultured Syntrophus sp.
Lineage: Bacteria; Pseudomonadati; Thermodesulfobacteriota; Syntrophia; Syntrophales; Syntrophaceae
Description: bacterial SSU rRNA
Rfam family: Bacterial small subunit ribosomal RNA
Source: RNAcentral
UUAGGAUAAGCCCGCGGCCUAUCAGCUAGUUGGUGAGGUAACGGCUCACCAAGGCUAAGACGGGUAGCUGGUCUGAGAGGACGACCAGCCACACUGGAACUGAGACACGGUCCAGACACCUACGGGUGGCAGCAGUCGAGAAUUUUUCUCAAUGGGCGCAAGCCUGAAGGAGCGACGCCGCGUGGGGGAUGAAGGGUUUCGAUCCGUAAACCCCUGUCAUUUGUGAACAAUGGUUAUUAUUUAAAAGAUGAUGACUUGAUAGUAAUGAAAGAGGAAGGGACGGCUAACUCUGUGCCAGCAGCCGCGGUAAUACAGAGGUCCCGAGCGUUGUUCGGAUUCACUGGGCGUAAAGGGUGCGUAGGUGGCUUGAAAAGUUUGAUGUGAAAGCUCAGGGCUUAACCCUGAAAUGGCAUUGAAUACUGUCGAGCUGGAGGUUUGGAGGGGGGACUGGAAUUCUUGGUGUAGCAGUGAAAUGCGUAGAUAUCAAGAGGAACACCAGUGGCGAAGGCGAGUCCCUGGACAACACCUGACACUGAGGCACGAAAGCUAGGGGAGCAAACAGGAUUAGAUACCCUGAUAGUCCUAGCCCCUAAACG